Molecule: ribosomal RNA, 420 nt
Filed under: uncultured bacterium
Lineage: Bacteria
Description: bacterial SSU rRNA
Rfam family: Bacterial small subunit ribosomal RNA
Source: RNAcentral
GGAAUAUUGGACAAUGGGGGCAACCCUGAUCCAGCAAUGCCGCGUGUGUGAAGAAGGCCUGCGGGUUGUAAAGCACUUUCAGAAGGGAAGAAAUCCUGAAGGUUAAUAUCCUUCAGGCUUGACAUUACCUACGAAAGAAGCACCGGCUAACUCCGUGCCAGCAGCAGCGGUAAAACGGAGGGUGCGAGCGUUAAUCGGAAUUACUUGGCGUAAAGCGCACGUAGGCGGUCUAGUAAGUCGGAUGUGAAAUCCCCGGGCUUAACCUGGGAAUUGCAUUCGAUACUGCUAAGCUAGAGUAUGGUAGAGGGUAGUGGAAUUCCGGGUGUAGCGGUGAAAUGCGUAGAUAUCCGGAGGAACACCAGUGGCGAAGGCGGCUACCUGGACCAAUACUGACGCUGAGGUGCGAAAGCGUGGGGAGCA